GGGUUGUGAGGUUAAGCGACUAAGCGUACACGGUGGAUGCCCUGGCAGUCAGAGGCGAUGAAGGGCGUGCUAAUCUGCGAUAAGCGCCGGUAAGGUGAUAUGAACCGUUAUAACCGGCGAUACCCGAAUGGGGAAACCCAGUGUGACUCGUCACACUAUCAUUAACUGAAUCCAUAGGUUAAUGAGGCGAACCGGGGGAACUGAAACAUCUAAG
Molecule: ribosomal RNA, 214 nt
Filed under: Salmonella enterica subsp. enterica serovar Oranienburg
Lineage: Bacteria; Pseudomonadati; Pseudomonadota; Gammaproteobacteria; Enterobacterales; Enterobacteriaceae
Also listed under: 3 other names
Description: partial 23S ribosomal RNA
Rfam family: Bacterial large subunit ribosomal RNA
Source: RNAcentral